Molecule: long non-coding RNA, 4403 nt
Organism: Myotis myotis
Lineage: Eukaryota; Metazoa; Chordata; Mammalia; Chiroptera; Vespertilionidae
Exons: 2
Source: RefSeq, a predicted model, not a curated record
GAGAGCACGCCCCGCCACCCUCAUUUACAGCACCCGGCGUAUCACAGGGCAGCAUGUGGGCCAAGAAAGGGAGAGUCUUGGAAAGGUGAGGCUAGCUGGCAGCUGGGCACAUCCCCUGAUGUGAAGAAAGAGUCUGGGUAAACCAGAUGGCCGCCUCGGCGCUGCCCAGGGACACGCUGCAGGCUGCUCCUUGGAAGUGGAUGUGAGCAGAAUUUCUUCUUGAGAAAAUCUAAGUCAUCAAGGGAGUUGGUCUGGGAAGAGGAGCUGGUCUCAGGGUGGCUGGCUGCCAGAGUGAUGUGGACAAGUCAUUUCUCCUCCUUGAGCCUCAGUUUCCCUCCCUGUAUGAUCGGGGUGUUCAGUUAUGAUUUCUUAGUGGGAGGCAGCACAGCACGGUGUAGGCACGGAGCUCCUGGUUCCAGUCCUUCGUCUUCCCGGCCGCGGGCCAGUGGGAGAGGCCUGACCUUGUGAAGACCCGGUCUCCCCCUGUGGUCUCUGGGCUGCUUUGAGGGUUUUGUGCGAUGAAGCUCACGUCACUCUUAGCAGAGCGGCAGGGGCCUGGGGGGUGCUCCAUACAGGAGCUCUUAUCAAUGUCAGCUCCACCAGGGAGCGCUCAUGGGGGCUUCGUGGACGGGGAGCGCUGAGCCACGGUCCGUGGAACAUCCCCUCACCUGCGACCCAGUGAAAGGCCACAGACUCCCUUCAUUCAGGUGGAAGUUACCAAAAUCUCCAUCCCCAUUUCACUGAGGUUCCUAAACAUGGUCACUUCUUAUUUGAAACCAUUUCCCAGAGGCAAAGGUCAAGCUGUCCAUUUGGGGUGAAAGAUAAAAAAAGAUAACAACUUCCUCUACUCGGUACUGUAGCCUUGACAGAGCCUGUUCAAGUGUAUGAUCUCAGUGGGGCCUCCCGACAGCCGGUGAGGACGGAGGGCAGCUGCAGGUGAGGACACGGAGCCCAGAGAUUGUCCAAGGCAGCAUGAGCGACAAGGAUGAGGGAAACUGAGGCCCAGAGGUUGUCCAAGGCGCAUGAGCGACAAGGGCCCGGGAGAGGACGAGAAAUCACACCCUCUGGCUGCAAAUCUCGGGUCUGCCCAGGGCAAACAGCGUGGCGGCUGGCUCCUUAGAUCUGGAAAUAACACCGAGAGGCCCUGCUUGUCUUUCCAUCUCUGCACGUGGCGGGCUGGCUGCUGGAGCGGCGGUGACCCCACACGGUCUAGAUGUGCUGUCGGGUGUGUGCGCCCCGUGCAGGGGACAGGCUCCCUGCUGGGGCGGCCUGGACACGUGUCCUCCUCCAGAAAGGGCCUCCCCAGCCUGGCGAAAGGGACCUGCUUCACGAGUCAGCGCUGCACCCCCUCCCGGCCUCGCUGGGUGAGCCCUUGACAGGACAGGGAGUCCGUGUGGAAGCCCGCACCGCAGUCCUCCCAGGGGGCGGGGCGAGGUCCCAGCCAGCGACGCGAGGGAUUCGCUUGGCGACUAGAGGCGCUUGUGAUGAGCGGAUGGACCUUUAAAACAAUACGAACACUGCUGUAGAGGUUCAUGAUGUGUGGUGGAUUUUAAUUCCUCUGAAGCCCUGGUUUGAGACUCAGCUCCUGCAGGGACGGCACCCAGAGGUGGUUCCAGCUUCCACCCAACAUCUGGCCUGACUGUGGCUUCAUCGUCCAGUGCUUGCUCCUGAACUUCUCAUAUGACUGAAUGAGCACUUUUUGGCGAUGUGGUGUUCUAAGGUGAUAUGAACAAAUACUAUGGACUGAAUGUUAGUGUCUCCCCAAAAUUCAUAUGUUGAGGCCCUAACCCCCAAUGUGAUGGUCUGAGGAGGUGGAGCCUUUGGGAGGUGAUUAGGGUUAGAUGAGGUCAGGAGGAUGGGGCCCCCAUGAUGGGAUUAGUGUCCUUAUAAGAAAAGUAGGAGAUGUCAGAGCUUCCUUUCUCCCCCAUCUGAGAAUACAGCAGGAAGAUGGCCAUCUGUGAUCCAGAAGCAAACCCUCACCAACAACUGCAUCUGCAGGCACCUUGGUCUUGGAUUUCAGCCUCCGGAGAAAUAAAUGUCCAUUGUUUAAGCCGCUUAGAUAUUUUGUCAUAGCAGCUUGAGCUACAAUAACACAACUGAGGCUUUUUGUAGUCGUUGUGAUGCAAACGCACAAAUGUCAGUUAGCUACCAUUUCUAUUUUUUCUUUUCUGAACAUUUAAAAAAUGAAUUACAUGCAAAUGAAUUAAAUACAAUAAAACGCAUAGCUCUUCAGCGUUUAGUUCAGUAAGUUUGAACAAUUAUGCACCUGUGUAAUCAUUACCUCCGUCAAGACCAGAGCUUAUCCAUCACCAGAACAUUUCUUUCUGCCCCUUCCCAGUUAAUUAUCGGCCCACCCACACAACCUUGGAGGCAGCAGAUCUCCAGGAGGCAACUCUCACCAUAGAUUAGCUUGGUCUGUUCUAGAGUUUCAAAUCCAUAGAUUCUUCUUUGUGUGUGUGACCUCUGUCACUCCAUGUGAUGUUUGGAGAUAAUUACUAGUACAUGUUGUUGAGCCUAUGAGCAAUCUCUCCCUUUUUAUUGCUGAGUAGUAGUCCAUGUAUGGACAUACCACAAUUUGUGAAUCCACCCUCUAGUGGAUGGGCAUGUAUUUUUUUGACUAUUGUGUAUAUUUUGUCUGUAAAAAUUCUUGCAUAUGUCUUUCUGUUGACAUGUUUCAUUUCUGUUGGGUAAUACCUGGAACUGGAAUUGUUGAGUCAUAGAAGAGACACAUACUUAAUGUGGAAGGAGCUGCCAGACAGAUCCCUAAUGUGGUGGUACCACUUCACUCUCUCCGAUGGAGCGAUGCGUAAUAGUUCCAGUUGCUCUGCAUCUUGCCAGCAUUUGGUGUUGUCAAUCGUUUUUUAUUUUAGCUACUGGGGUGGGUGUGAAAUGGCAUCUCACCGUUGCUUUAAUUUUCACUUCUCUGAUGACAAAUGCCAUUGAGCAACUUUUCAUGUGCUUUCUGGCCUUCAUGUAUCUCCUUUGGUGAAAUGUCUAUUCAAGUAUUUUGCCCAUGUUUAAAAUUAAGUUAUUUGGUUUUUCAUGUUGAUUUGUAGGAGUUCUAUUUAUUUUUGUACUUGUCUCUUCUCCCUUUUACUCCCUAAAUUCCUUGAGAUAUUUUGUCAGUUCUGUCUACAGAGCCCGCCACAAUUCUAUGUAUUAGCAGGUACUUAAUAAAUACUUAUUGGAUUAUCAGCAAGGAUUAGGUUCUGUUUGUACAGUAGCAUUACGUGUUGAUUUUAGUAAAAGAAUUCAGUCAAGGUUAUGUGUUUCAUCUUUUCUAAUGGCAGCAUAUAUUGUUUUUCAGUUAUUAAAUUUGACAUUACUCUUUCCUAGUAUGUCCAUCUUUUACAAAUAUUCAGGCUAUUUUCAAAUGUUUUAGGCCAAUCUGGCAUAUACCAGUUGAGCUUGGAAACUAUAGUAAACUGUACAGUUAGCUUUUUACAAGACUAAGGAAGAUCUGAAGAUUUCAUGAUAGGUGGUCUCUUCUAGACAUUAAAAUAUUUAUAGUCUUAAAAAAAUAGAACAUUGUGUACUAUCCUCUUAUGUUUGUCUCCUCUUCUGAAGUUCAUGAGACAUUUCUUAGCAAGAGCCAGAGCCUAAGGGGCAGAAAGAAGAAAUAUAAAUACUUCUAUUUGAAGAUAAAGAUGGCGAGCAUCGACAAAGGGAAUAUCUGAGGCUUUUAAAAUCUUGUCUCCCUUCCAGUUUUGUCAGCCAAAGCAUUAUAAACUUAUGUUCUGCUUUGAAAGAACACCUGCAAUGAUGUCAUCUUCAUAUUCUUACAUUAGCUUCUAGGCAGUCCGGCCAGCUCAGGGGAGCCAGAGAAAUAUUUCUAUGUUUGUCCACUUGAACAUUGUCCCAGACUCUUUGCUCUUGGGUAUUAACCCAUGUUUUAGCAACACUCUCAUGCCCAGGGUGAUUCAGAGAAUCAUAAACUUGAAUCUUGAAAAUAAUAUGUAGCCAAUAAAUGUAUUACUUUUCAGUUGCUUGGAUUUAAAUUCAAAUGAAUUCAAUAAGUUAAUUUUUUUUUCUGACCUCAAAAGUAAUAAUUGCUUGUAGAAAUAUAGCAUGAAAGUAUACAGAAAUUGAAAAUGGUCUAAUAAUCCAUCUCACAAAAAUAAUAAGUAUUAAAACCUCUUAGGUUUACUUGCAGUCAUUUCUGUUUUGGGGACUAAUAUAUAAUUUCUGUUCUAUGAAAAAAGAAUCAUGUGAAUAUAUUCUAUGAAUUCUGCUUUUUGUUUAUUCCAUGUUGCUUUUUCCAGAAUGAUUUUCACACAUCAUUACAGAUUUUUAAUGACUGUAUAACAUUCCAUUAUGUGCCGUUCCUCCUUAUAUUUGUGUGUUUAUCAGUCAAGUUUUGUGGUUUACCUCAUGUUGCUAAUAAAAAUUUAAUGUUUUCUGCC